This 53-nucleotide ribosomal RNA is filed under the name Psychromonas algicola. RNAcentral describes it as "Psychromonas sp. RZ5 partial 23S ribosomal RNA". Lineage: Bacteria; Pseudomonadati; Pseudomonadota; Gammaproteobacteria; Alteromonadales; Psychromonadaceae. The record is from RNAcentral.
UAACUUGUACUAAUUACCCGUGAGGCUUAACCAUACAACACCUAAGAAGUGUU